This 254-nucleotide ribosomal RNA is filed under the name uncultured bacterium. RNAcentral describes it as "partial 16S ribosomal RNA". It matches the Rfam family "Bacterial small subunit ribosomal RNA", at positions 524 to 776 of the family's 1533-position model. The record is from RNAcentral.
CACGUAGGGGGCAAGCGUUGUCCGGAUUUAUUGGGCGUAAAGAGCUCGUAGGUGGUUCGGUAAGUCAGGUGUGAAACCUCCAGGCUCAACCUGGAGACGCCACUUGAUACUGCUGUGACUGGAGUCCGGUAGGGGAGCGUGGAAUUCCUGGUGUAGCGGUGAAAUGCGCAGAUAUCAGGAGGAACACCAGCGGCGAAGGCGGCGCUCUGGGCCGGUACUGACGCUGAGACGCGAAGGCGUGGGGAGCGAACGGG